CACGCAGGCGGACCUGUAAGUCUGUCGUCAAAGGCGGAGGCUCAACCUUCGUUCCACGAUAGAUACUGCGGGUCUAGAGUAUGUGAGAGGGAAGUGGAAUUCCCGGUGUAGCGGUGAAAUUCGUAGAUAUUCGCAAGAACACCAGUGGCGAAGGCGGCUCACUGGGCCAUUACUGACGCUGAGGCACGAAAGCGUGGGAGCAAACA
RNAcentral lists this ribosomal RNA (206 nucleotides) under uncultured bacterium. Its description in RNAcentral is "partial 16S ribosomal RNA". It matches the Rfam family "Bacterial small subunit ribosomal RNA", at positions 568 to 774 of the family's 1533-position model. The record is from RNAcentral.